GCGGUCGAGCGUCGCCGCACAGAGAAAUUCUUUUUUCUCAGGAGUUGGCCGAGGGGCGGACGGGUGGUGUAACUCGCCUGGGGAAAUUGCCCUCGAUUGGUGGGGGAUAACCCUUUGUAAACGAUGGUUUUAAUACCCGCAUAGGCUGAGAUGCCUUUGGGCCCAAAGAGGGGGGACCUUCUGGGCCCUUUCCGCGUCCAGGAAUAUCGCCCAGGUGGGAUUAAGCUAAUUUGGUGAGGUAAGGGCUUCACCAAGGGGGACGAUCCCUUAGUUGGUAGGGAUGUUCCUUCCCCACCUGGAAACUGGAGACCCCGGUCCCAGAUUUCUUACGGGAAGGCAGCCAGUGGGGAAUAUUUGCCCCAAUGGGGCGCAAGCCUGGAUGCAAGCCAUGCCGGCGUUGUGUGAAGGAAGGCCUUUCGGGUUGUAAAGGCAUUUUCAGUUGUGAGCAAAGGUGGUGUUCGUUAAUAGCGGCCUUCAUUUGACGUUAGCAACAGAAGAAGCACCGGCUAACUCGGUGCCAGCAGCCGCGGUAAUACGGAGGGUGCGAGCGUUAAUCGGAAUUACUGGGCGUAAAGCGCAUGCAGGUGGUUUGUUAAGUCAGAUGUGAAAGCCCGGGGCUCAACCUCGGAACUGCAUUUGAAACUGGCAGACUAGAGUACUGUAGAGGGGGGUAGAAUUUCAGGUGUAGCGGUGAAAUGCGUAGAGAUCUGAAGGAAUACCGGUGGCGAAGGCGGCCCCCUGGACAGAUACUGACACUCAGAUGCGAAAGCGUGGGGAGCAAACAGGAUUAGAUACCCUGGUAGUCCACGCUGUAAACGAUGUCUACUUGGAGGUUGUGGCCUUGAGCCGUGGCUUUCGGAGCUAACGCGUUAAGUAGACCGCCUGGGGAGUACGGUCGCAAGAUUAAAACUCAAAUGAAUUGACGGGGGCCCGCACAAUUUUGGUUAUCAGCAUGUGGUUUAAUUCGAUGCAACGCGAAGAACCUUACCUACUCUUGACAUCCAGAGAAGCCAGCGGAGACGCAGGUGUGCCUUCGGGAACUCUGAGACAGGUGCUGCAUGGCUGUCGUCAGCUCCGGUGUUGUGAAAUGUUGGGUUAAGUCCCCGCACCGAGGCGCAACCCUUAUCCUUGUUUGCCAGCGAGUAAUGUCGGGAACUCCAGGGAGACUGCCGGUGAUAAACCGGAAGGAAGGUGGGGACGACGUCAAGUCAUCAUGGCCCCUUACGAGUAGGGCUACACACCGUGCUACAAUGGGCGCAUACAGAGGGGGGGCACAUUUGCGAAAGUUAGCCGAAUCCCAAAAAGUGGGCUCGUAGUCCCGGAUUGGAGUCUGCCCACCUCGCCUCCAUGAAGUCGGAAUCGCUAGUAAAUCGUGGGUUCAGAAUGUCCACGGUGAAUACUUUCCCGGGCCUUUUACACCCCGCCCGUCACCCACCAUGGGAGAUGGGCUGCAAAAGAAGUUGGUAGUUUAACCCUUCUGGAGGACGCUCCACCAUUUAUUGGUGGUUAUCUCGGGGAUAGGGGUUUUGACAAUUGUACAAGA
Molecule: ribosomal RNA, 1543 nt
Filed under: Vibrio parahaemolyticus
Lineage: Bacteria; Pseudomonadati; Pseudomonadota; Gammaproteobacteria; Vibrionales; Vibrionaceae
Description: bacterial SSU rRNA
Rfam family: Bacterial small subunit ribosomal RNA
Source: RNAcentral